CCAAUAGCGUAUAUUAAAGUUGUUGCAGUUAAAAAGCUCGUAGUUGAAUUUCGGGAUCAGUACGCUGGUCGUGCCUUUGGUAUGCACUGGUGUCACUGGUUUCUCCCUUCUGAAGAUCCGUGAUGUCAUUAAUUUGGUGUCGCGGGGAAUCAGGACUGUUACUUUGAAAAAAUUAGAGUGUUUAAAGCAGGCUCACGCUUGAAUACAUUAGCAUGGAAUAAUGAAAUAGGACGUUUGAUCCUAUUUUGUUGGUUUCUAGGAUCGACGUAAUGAUUAAUAGGGAUAGUUGGGGGCAUUAGUAUUCAAUUGUCAGGGGUGAAAUUCUUGGAUUUAUUGAAGACUAACUACUGCGAAAGCAUUUGCCAAGGAUGUUUUCAUUAAUCAAGAACGAAAGUUAGGGGAUCGAAGACGAUCAGAUACCGUCGUAGUCUUAACCAUAAACUAUGCCGACUAGGGAUCGGAUGAUGUUAAUUUUAUAAUGACUCAUUCGGCGCCUUACG
This 500-nucleotide ribosomal RNA is filed under the name uncultured Glomeromycotina. RNAcentral describes it as "partial small subunit ribosomal RNA". It matches the Rfam family "Eukaryotic small subunit ribosomal RNA", at positions 591 to 1092 of the family's 1831-position model. Lineage: Eukaryota; Fungi; Glomeromycota. The record is from RNAcentral.